UUGGGAGUGUGGCUCAGUGGUAGAGUGCUUGUCUAGCAUACGUGAGGCCCUGGGUUGGAUCCCCCUCCAAAA
RNAcentral lists this transfer RNA (72 nucleotides) under Marmota monax (woodchuck). RNAcentral describes it as "tRNA.Ala". Lineage: Eukaryota; Metazoa; Chordata; Mammalia; Rodentia; Sciuridae. The record is from RNAcentral.